GAGUAAUGUCUGGGAAACUGCCUGAUGGAGGGGGAUAACUACUGGAAACGGUAGCUAAUACCGCAUAACGUCGCAAGACCAAAGAGGGGGGACCUUCGGGCCUCUUGCCAUCAGAUGUGCCCAGAUGGGAUUAGCUAGUAGGUGGGGUAACGGCUCACCUAGGCGACGAAUCCCUAGCUGGUCUGAGAGGAUGACCAGCCACACUGGAACUGAGACNCGGUCCAGACUCCUACGGGAGGCAGCAUG
RNAcentral lists this ribosomal RNA (246 nucleotides) under uncultured bacterium. RNAcentral describes it as "partial 16S ribosomal RNA". It matches the Rfam family "Bacterial small subunit ribosomal RNA", at positions 108 to 353 of the family's 1533-position model. The record is from RNAcentral.